Molecule: long non-coding RNA, 1189 nt
Filed under: Marmota monax (woodchuck)
Lineage: Eukaryota; Metazoa; Chordata; Mammalia; Rodentia; Sciuridae
Source: RNAcentral
AGGAUGCGAGGCUCCGGGAGAGGAGAGAACCCUGGGCUGUGGGGGUAGGGGCUGGGGGCUGGAGGCUGGAGGUUCGGAGACAUGAGAGGGAACGAAGAAAUCCUAGUUUUUAACUGAAGACACGUAAAGGAAAGGGAGUCCUAUGAAAGUAACUCAUCCCGAUGGAAAAUCUACUGUUUUCCAGUUGUCUGGACCAUUUAGACAGCAGCAACGAAUAGGGAGAGGGGCUGUAUUUUGAAGGAGAGGGAUGACUGGUAAGAAUGCUGCUAGAUAAGACCCCAAGGGUGAGAUGGAGUUGCAAAGGCCAUUCAUUCCAGGAACAAGUGUCAGGCAAACAUUAAGUUGUUUUCCUAACUGGAACAUUUUCCUCUAAGUUUUACAUCUCUUUUCUCAUUACUGUUUUCAGUAAAGAUUUAUUACUCUGUAACCAUGAACAAUGUAGUAGUUGUGCCUUGGAACAUAUUUAUGUAAAUAAACUGAAAGGAACACAGGAUGAGAAGAGGAUGGGUGAAGCUAGAGGCAGCCUGAAUUCUACCCCCACAGCCUUCCCCGUUGAUCUGCUGUGUGAUCCUAAACACCUCUAGCACUUCUCUCUAUGGGAAGAACAGCUGUAUCUUUUCAUAGACUUCUGGACAGAAUCCGAUGGGAUAAUGUAGCAAAGGGGAAGCUCUGGGAAAUGGUUCUGAUUUCCAAUGUGGAAAAAUUAGUCCCUGAGCCUACAGCUAUAAGGAAAAGUGGGCACUGUUAAAGAACUUUGCCUACUUCUAGACUGGGUUAACCAACCCCAGGUCUCUGAGGAAGAUACCAAAGAUCUAGCUGGACCCCAUAGCAUAGUCUAGUUCAGGAAGGGGACUGGGGAGGCCCAGACUUUAAACUGCCAGAGGGUCUCUACACACAUUGUGGUGGGGUUUGGGGAUGAUCAUUAAAUACAUUCCUGCUGGCCUCCCUGCUUUUACCAGUAAAGCAGUUGAGAAAUGAGACAACGGGAAUAAAACAAGUGAGGACAAAACCUCAACUUAAUUAUAAUCCUGCCAAAUUAGAGAAUGAGGCUUGACCUAUAGCCACACAUGGCCCCUAAUAUAUACCGACAAAACUCUGGAGAGAAGAGAGCAUCCUUUAAAAAGAGCCCAUGGGGACACAGACCUGGUGGGUAAGGCACAGGCACAAAUGUCUCCUUCCUCCUCGGGAC